ACAAAUGUAUUAACAAGUUUUUUUGUUAAAAUAAUAAAAAUGAAUGAAAAUCUUAUACAACGAAUCAAAAACUUUAAUAUCAAUGAGUGAAUUUUAUGAGUGAAAUUUGAUUAAGAGAUUCUAUAAAAUGAUUUACUUCAAAAAAUGACACUGUAUUAUGAUAAUAUAAUGCUUAAAACAUUUUUGUUAACAUAAAUGUGUUAUUUAAAGAUUGUUGAUCUAUUUAUUCAUACAACUGAAGUAAAAAUAAUUACAUGUAGCAGUAGAAACUUGUACAUUAUAAUUACCACAUAAGUUGAUACUUCAUUUUAUGGUUAUGUUUUACUUUGUAUAGUGUAUAAUAAAAUAACAAAAUUUGUAAAAACGCAAUUGUAAUUAAGUGAUUUACGUGAGAUAAAUAAUGACAAUGGAUAUUUACCAAGAGAUCUUAAUUAACAAAUGUGUACAGUAUUACACGGAACUUAUAUCCUCCAGAUGGAAAAAAAUGUAUUACAUAUCAACUUCAAAAUAUAAGGAAUUGGAAAUAUUAUUCUAAAUGUUAAAGCUAAGAAAAUAUAAAAUUUCAAUUAUAAGUGCCAAAAACAAGAUGGAUACUUCUAUAACAUUUAACAAAUGGACUACCUGGAUAUAAAGUAAUGAUUACUGGACUUAUGAUAUACAGAGGAGGUAUUAUUUUAUUAAAAGAAAGUAAAUUUAGAGAAAUUGAUGGAGAAAUAAAAAAUUUAUCCAUCAUCAAUGCAUUAGAAAAUGUUCUAACUUGAACUUUGUAAGUUUUUAAAAUAAUCAAUGAGAAUUUAUUAUUUAUGUUUAUAAUAUUUUUAAGUAUUUGAAUAUUCCAAAAACUGUUCAAAAAAUACAGACUUCUAUACAAUAAAGCUUAGAAGAUAAUGAAAAACCACUUGCUACAAAUGAUCUCUUUGAAGAUGAUUUUGAAAUCAAUUUGGAAGAAAUUACACAAAUUGAGCAAUGAAGUCAAGAGAUAGAUAACAUAUGCUAUAAAUAUACUAAAUAGAUUAGAAUAAAUAAACUAACCAGAAUAACUUGUCUAGUACAAAAAAUAUUAAAUAACAAAAUUUUAUUUAUCCAAAAGAUUCAUCAAAACAGAAUGACAAACAUAAAAAGAAUAAUAUUACUGAAACUUUCGAUACAGUUAAUAAGUUGUUAGAAAUAAUAAAUAAAAAUCACUUUAUCGCGUUUAUCUCAUGUACAAUUAUCAAUAACAAAAAGAAAGAAUUUCGAGUAUUAUUUAAAGAAGAUAAUGAUCAAAAUAUGAGAGAUGAUAUAAUAAUAAUGAAAGUUCUGUUAGCAGUUGAAAAGAGAAUAUUAAAAUACUAAAUGACAUGUUAUUUCAAAGGAUGAUUUCAAAUUUGGUGAUGUUGAUGUUCCAGAAGCUUUAGAAAAGAAGAUUUAGUAAAAAAUAAUAAAAAAUGUUAAUGAAAUGAAAUUUUCAACUAAGUAAAUCAUUCUUGCGAAACAUUAAUUCCAUAAAAGGCAAAAAUUCCUUCGAAAUAUUAAACUUAAAACAUACAGCAUUAAUACAAAUGAAACAUCAUCUAAUGCACAAGUUGAUCGUUAAAAAAAAAUUGGAGAUAAAAGAUCUAUAGUACGAUUUAAUAUUUUCAGCAAACAUUAAUAUAUAAUAGACAGAAUUGUGUAUAAAAUAUAAUAUUUGUAUUUUAGGAAUUAAUGUAACCAUCAUUUAUUAAUUGAUCAAAAAUACGCUGUAUUUCAAAGAAAGUAUGAUCAAAGAAACAUAAAAUCAAGAAAAUAAUGUAAAAAGAUUUUCUGACUUUAUAAAAGCAAAAAAGUUACAAGAAUAAAUAGCAUUGAAAAUUUUAACUUUAUUUGUUAUGCAAUUGAAAAAAUGAUUAUAGAAAGAUUUUUUGGAUUUAGCGUUAAGGGAUUUCCCCAAAAAAAGGAAACAUGCAGAAACUAAUGGUAAUAUAGAAUAUAAAUUAAGAAUGGUAAUAUUUUAAGAUAUGUUAAUCAUAAUAUUUUAUCAUACAUAAUUGUAUUAUUUAUUACACAUAUGCUGUUAUGUAUUUUAUCUAUGUACAUUUUAGUGAUAUUUUAGAUUUGCCAUAAUGCAGAAAAAUUGAACAAUUGGAUGUUUUAUUAGAAUUGAAAUUGAAACUAAAUCACAAAGUAAAAGUUGUAAACAUUAGGCCGUUAAGUGAUUAAUAUAAAGGAAAUAAUUGAUAAAUUGAUGAAGACACUAAAGAUUUAUAAAAUUCUACCUCAUAUAAUUUUACAUAAAGAUUCGUUUAUAUUAUCAUUAUUAUAUCAUGUUAUUUGUAUUACUACUACUAUGAUCUUUACAUUUUUUCUUAUUGCAAAUCAAUCACAACUAAGUUGAUUUAACAAAUGAUACCAUUCUAAUUAUAUUACAAUCAAUUUUAUAUUUAAAAUUUUAAUGAUUUGUUUUUUUUUAAUGAAUAAAUAAAUUAUUUAGAAUAAUAUUUAUUAUUGUUUUAAAUUUUGUCUAUGUAAAGAAUUCGAAAUGCUCCAAUUUGAAACUCAAAAGAAAAUAAGUUGAAGGGAAAAAAGUGAAUUCAUUCUGAAGUUUUUUUUUUAAUCUUCUAUAAUGGUACUACACUUUUAUAUCACCAUACUUUGAUUAUGUAAAAGCAAUGGGUAAGAGCAAUUAUACCUUGCUUUUUAGUAUCGUAGAAUUUAAAUCUAAUUUGAGUGAUGAAAACGAAUAGUAAAAUUAUUUCUUUUUAUUUUCUUGUAUUUUAUAAAUCUAAAAAAUUAAAUUAAAAAUUAUACUUCCAAUAUUAAUCUUUUUUUAUAUACACAUUGUUUGUCAUAAAAAUAUUUAAUAUUAUUUAUUAUUAUAUUUUGAAAGCUUUUUUAUUAUUAUAAAAAUGUUUGUUCUUAACGCAAAUCGAGUUCAAACGAUAUUAUUGAGCUACUUAAAAUCUACUUUUUAUUUACUUGUUAAAGUUCUAUUCUUAUUAUAAUUUUAAGAAGACUACCAAAAUAUACCUUUUAAUAAAAGUCUAAUAUUAAAAGUAUGAUAAUAAAUCCUUCUUUUAUUUUUUACCUACAAAAUCGAUUUAGUACUCAAUCUAUUAAUGGAGAAAGAAAAAGAAAGAGUAAGAGUUUGAAAAAAGUUUAAUAGUUCGAUGAUAAAGAAAAUUAAAAACUUUCCUCUGUUCGAAAACGAUUAAUAUAGGACGAAAAAGAUAUUUCUUAGAACAAUAAACAUAAUGAUAAAAUCUUUUGUCACUAACUUUUUACUGUUCACGAGUUAUUUUUACAUUUAAUGGAAUUCAAUCGAAUCAAAUAAACGAGAAGAAAAAUUUUUCAUUAGUUUGGCUGAAUGUUCAUGGGGAUGAACAUUCCCAUACAUUCCUUCUCAUAAAAAAAAAAAAAGGAAUAUUCACUAGAGUAAGUUCAAAUUCAGAAAAUCAUAGGAAGUUACAGCAAGAGAGAGGGAAGGAGAGAGAGAGAUAGAGAGAAUAAAUUUAAUGAAUUAGUCAUCGCUUUCUGAGAGAAUGAGAAUAGUAAAAGAGAGAGGAUGGUGAUAGUUUAGGAAGUGAUCAUGUCAUUUUGUCUUUGUGAACUUUUCUCUGAUCUCAAAAGGUCAAAAAGAGAAGAAUCGAAAGAAGGGCUGGCAAUGGAUAUCAUCAAUUUUUCGAAUAAGGAUGGUCAAAUAAUGAAAUGUAAGGAAAAUUUCAAAAUCUAAAUCCAUUUUUUUAACGGAAUUAUAAAUUUUUCUUUUCGAUGGCGUUUAUCGAGACGACUUUAACAACAAGCCAUAUGAGGUCAUUUAUUAUCGUAAAAUAUUAUAAAUUAUAUUAUAAAUUUAUUGUUGAAAAGAUUUUAAUGAUACGGCUGAAUUGUAUCCUGAUUGGUUUAAGGAUGUUACCUGAAAUAUACUAUGACUGGUUAUCGCAACGACUAAAUCUAGAAAAAUUUACAAUUAUAUGGUGGUUAGACGCCAUAUUGGUUUGUUUCGAGAGGAUUAUUGGCGGAUAAAUGGACGAAUUGUGAGUCGUGCAUGUCCAAAGGUUACCAUGAAUCGUUAUCAAUAAAUCGUGAGCAAUCGUGGAGAGUGUCACGACCAAACAAGAAUGAAAUCUCGUCUCUCAUUUCCUCUUCUCUUUCUCUCUUUCACUACUCCAUUUCCCUUAGAACGGUGAAUCCAAAUCGACCAGAUGUCUGUAGGCGGGACCAGUCCCUUCUCCUGGGAGGGUUAAAGAAACCGUUUCUAGCGUAAUCGAACGCUGACAGCUAUAAGUAUCGUACCGUUGUCAUUGCGUACACGGUGUCUUACCGCAAACAAACAGUACAGACCUGCGUUGCAUUCACAUAUCCUUUUGUUUUUUUUUAACUUAAAAAUAAAUCAAUUUUAAGGCCCAUAGAUUUUACAAUCUUUGAUUUUAUAAAACAUUAUAAAACAUAUAAAACUAUCAUAAAAAGUACUGUUCGUUUAGUAACUUUGAUUACAUUAAUCUUAGAAAAAUAAUUAACCGUAAUUUAAUCUAACUUAUUUAUGUAUGUAGUUCAAGUACUUUGGACGAUAAUAUUGCACGCAACAUUAUAAUAUAACUGUUAACAA
Molecule: long non-coding RNA, 4567 nt
Organism: Vespa velutina
Lineage: Eukaryota; Metazoa; Arthropoda; Insecta; Hymenoptera; Vespidae
Exons: 6
Source: RefSeq, a predicted model, not a curated record